This 227-nucleotide long non-coding RNA is filed under the name Mytilus galloprovincialis (Mediterranean mussel). Lineage: Eukaryota; Metazoa; Mollusca; Bivalvia; Mytilida; Mytilidae. The record is from RNAcentral.
AUUUUUAAAUUAUACUAAAGAAGCUUUAGUAUAUUUACUUGAUGUUAAACUAUUUCACUAAAUUUUUAUAAUAAGAAUUAUUAAAAUUUUAGUACAUUAUGGAUGAUUCUGGAGAAGUAAUUAUAGCUAUAAAUCAUUCUUUCCAAGAGGAAAAUGAUGGGGAAAUUACCAUUCCUUUAAAUGAACAGAAGGUUGAUAGUGUUGACUAUGCAGAGCAGACAAUAAGC